AAUUGAUUUUCGGGGAGCUUGCGUGAAGCAGGCUGAGAGGGAGCUGUUCGCUCCGACCCGUGACCUGAUUUGGAUAAUGCCAACGUAGGGAGCAAGCAGGAUCUUUGU
This 108-nucleotide non-coding RNA is filed under the name Ruminococcus sp. RNAcentral's name for it is "TPP sequence". It matches the Rfam family "TPP riboswitch aptamer (THI element)". From Rfam's summary of the family: Vitamin B(1) in its active form thiamin pyrophosphate (TPP) is an essential coenzyme that is synthesised by coupling of pyrimidine and thiazole moieties in bacteria. The previously detected thiamin-regulatory element, thi box was extended, resulting in a new, highly conserved RNA secondary structure, the THI element, which is widely distributed in eubacteria and also occurs in some archaea. Analysis of operon structures identified a large number of new candidate thiamin-regulated genes, mostly transporters, in various prokaryotic organisms. Lineage: Bacteria; Bacillati; Bacillota; Clostridia; Eubacteriales; Oscillospiraceae. RNAcentral also lists the same sequence under 1 other name. The record is from RNAcentral.